UGACCGGUGCCAAAGUAGCAUAAUCCAUUGUCUUUUAAUUAAAGGCUUGUAUGAAUGGUUGGAUGAGAUAUCAACUAUUUUUAUUUUAACAAAAAUGAAUUUUAAUUUUUAGUAAAAAUGCUAAAAUAAAAAAAUUAGACGAGAAGACCCUAUAAAUCUUUAUUUUUAAAAGAUAAUAUUAAUUUUGUAAAUUAUAAAAUAUUUAUUUUUUAAAAAUUUAAUUGGGAGGAUAAUGAAAUUUAAUAAACUUUUAUUUUGUUUUAUAAAUAUAAUUAAAUUUAUGAAUAUAUUAUAAUGUUUAGAAAAUUAAGUUACUUUAGGGAUAACAGCGUAAUUAUUUUAAAGAGUUCUUAUCGAUAAAAUAGUUUGCGACCUCGAUGUUGAAUUAAGAAUUAAUAGGCGCAAAAGUGACU
Molecule: ribosomal RNA, 413 nt
Filed under: Culicoides pseudopallidipennis
Lineage: Eukaryota; Metazoa; Arthropoda; Insecta; Diptera; Ceratopogonidae
Description: partial 16S ribosomal RNA
Source: RNAcentral